AACGAACGCUGGCGGCAUGCCUAACACAUGCAAGUCGAACGAGACCUUCGGGUCUAGUGGCGCACGGGUGCGUAACGAGUGGGAACCUGCCCUUAGGUUCGGAAUAACUCACCGAAAGGGGUGCUAAUACCGGAUAAUGUCUUCGGACCAAAGAUUUAUCGCCUUUGGAUGGGCCCGCGUUGGAUUAGCUAGUUGGUAGGGUAAAAGCCUACCAAGGCGACGAUCCAUAGCUGGUCUGAGAGGAUGAUCAGCCACACUGGGACUGAGACACGGCCCAGACUCCUACGGGAGGCAGCAGUGGGGAAUAUUGGACAAUGGGCGAAAGCGUGAUCCAGCAAUGCCGCGUGAGUGAUGAAGGCCUUAGGGUUGUAAAGCUCUUUUACCCGGGAUGAUAAUGACAGUACCGGGAGAAUAAGCGCCGGCUAACUCCGUG
RNAcentral lists this ribosomal RNA (433 nucleotides) under uncultured bacterium. Its description in RNAcentral is "partial 16S ribosomal RNA". It matches the Rfam family "Bacterial small subunit ribosomal RNA", at positions 29 to 507 of the family's 1533-position model. The record is from RNAcentral.